GGAGCGAAAUAAAGUAGUGAAGUGUCCGGAGGACCUGUCGAGAAAAGCCGCUAUAGUGUGAUAUCUGCCCGUACCGUAAACCGACACAGGUGGAUGAGGAGAGAAUCCUAAGGCCGACGGAAGAAGCAUUGCUAAGGAACUCGGCAAAAUGUACCCGUAACUUCGGGAUAAGGGUAGCCCUCAUGUAUGAGUAUAUGAGGGCCGCAGAGAAGAGGCUCAAGCAACUGUUUAGCAAAAACACAGGUCUAUGCGAAACCGAAAGGUGAAGUAUAUGGGCUGACGCCUGCCCGGUGCUGGAAGGUUAAGAGGAGAGGUUAGAGCAAUCGAAGCUUUGAAUUUAAGCCCCAGUAAACGGCGGCCGUAACUAUAACGGUCCUAAGGUAGCGAAAUUCCUUGUCGGGUAAGUUCCGACCCGCACGAAAGGCGUAAUGAUUUGAGUACUGUCUCGGCAAUGCAUCCGGUGAAAUUGAAGUGCCAGUGAAGAUGCUGGCUACCCGCGCCAGGACGGAAAGACCCCAUGGAGCUUUACUCCAGCUUGAUACUGGGAUCCGGUAUUGUAUGUACAGGAUAGGUGGGAGGCUAAGAGAUUGUGGCGUCAGCUGCAAAGGAGCCGCUGUUGGGAUACCACCCUUACCGUACUGGAUUUCUAACCAUGGACCGUGAAACCGGUCCGGGGACAAUGUCUGGCGGGGAGUUUGACUGGGGCGGUCGCCUCCGAAAGAGUAUCGGAGGCGCUCAAAGGUUCCUUCAGGAUGGACGGAAACCAUCCGAAGAGUGCAAAGGCAUAAGGGAGCCUGACUGUGACACCGACGGGUGGAACAGGUACGAAAGUAGGACUUAGUGAUCCGGUGGCAGAACGUGGGAUUGCCAUCGCUCAACGGAUAAAAGCUACCCUGGGGAUAACAGGCUUAUCACUCCCAAGAGUUCACAUCGACGGAGUGGUUUGGCACCUCGAUGUCGGCUCAUCACAUCCUGGGGCUGUAGCAGGUCCCAAGGGUUGGGCUGUUCGCCCAUUAAAGUGGUACGCGAGCUGGGUUCAGAACGUCGUGAGACAGUUCGGUCCCUAUCCGGCGCGGGCGUAGGAUAUCUGAGAGGAGCUGUCCUUAGUACGAGAGGACCGGGAUGGACGGACCGCUGGUGUAUCUGCUGCGAAGGCAAUCGCAUAAGGCAGGGUAGCCAAGUCUGGCAGGGAUAAACGCUGAAGGCAUCUAAGCGUGAAGCCCCCCUCAAGAUGAGAUAUCCCCACGCAAGUGGUAAGACCCCUUGGAGAGUACGAGGUUGAUAGGCACAAGGUGUAAGAGUGGUAACAUUCUCAGCUGAUGUGUACUAAUAGGUCGAGGACUUAACCA
Molecule: ribosomal RNA, 1349 nt
Filed under: Butyrivibrio sp. TB
Lineage: Bacteria; Bacillati; Bacillota; Clostridia; Lachnospirales; Lachnospiraceae
Description: bacterial LSU rRNA
Rfam family: Bacterial large subunit ribosomal RNA
Source: RNAcentral